CAUGCAAGUCGAACGCGAAAGUUCCCUUCGGGGAGCGAGUAGAGUGGCGCACGGGUGAGUAACACGUAGGUAAUCUACCUUUGGAUUGGGAAUAACAACCGGAAACGGUUGCUAAUACCGAAUAAUGCAGCGGCACCUAAUGGUGACAGUUGUUAAAGCGGGGGAUCGCAAGACCUCGCGUCUAAAGAGGAGCCUGCGGCGGAUUAGCUAGUUGGUAAGGUAAUGGCUUACCAAGGCUAUGAUCCGUAGCCGGCCUGAGAGGGCGGUCGGCCACACUGACACUGACAUACGGGUCAGACUCCUACGGGAGGCAGCAGUCGGGAAUUUUGGGCAAUGGGCGAAAGCCUGACCCAGCAACGCCGCGUGAAGGAUGAAAUCCUUCGGGAUGUAAACUUCGCAAGAACGGGAAGAAUAAGUAAGAGCUAACAUCUCUUAUGAUGACGGUACUGUUUGUAAGCUCCGGCUAACUCCGUGCCAGCAGCCGCGGUAAUACGGGGGGAGCAAGCGUUGUUCGGAUUUACUGGGCGUAAAGGGCGCGUAGGCGGCCACCGCAAGUCGAUUGUGAAAUCUCCGGGCUUAACCCGGAAAGGUCAACCGAUACUGCGGGGCUAGAGUGCAGAAGGGGCAACUGGAAUUCUCGGUGUAGCGGUGAAAUGCGUANAUAUCGAGAGGAACACCUGCGGCGAAGGCGGGUUGCUGGGCUGACACUGACGCUGAAGUGCGAAAGCUAGGGGAGCGAACGGGAUUAGAUACCCCGGUAGUCCUAGCCUUAAACGAUGAAUGCUUGGUGUCU
This 793-nucleotide ribosomal RNA is filed under the name uncultured Pseudomonadota bacterium. RNAcentral describes it as "bacterial SSU rRNA". It matches the Rfam family "Bacterial small subunit ribosomal RNA", at positions 54 to 825 of the family's 1533-position model. Lineage: Bacteria; Pseudomonadati; Pseudomonadota. The record is from RNAcentral.